Long non-coding RNA from Pleuronectes platessa (European plaice), 761 nucleotides. RefSeq lists it as uncharacterized. The record is from RefSeq and is a predicted model, not a curated record. The transcript has 2 exons. NCBI's taxonomy places the organism in Eukaryota, Metazoa, Chordata, Actinopteri, Pleuronectiformes, Pleuronectidae.
UUGUUUCGAUGUAUAACUGUUUCACUUACUCAUUUCCAGAGAGAACACUGACAGAAGGCUGAAAGUCCCUGCCUCGUCAUGUUCCCUGAACAUUCACUACCGGGUGGUUUAGGAUUGUACACAGAAGAACUGCAGCACUCGAAUCUGUAGCUCAGGAACCUAAAAGAUUUAUCUGAAGAUUUCGGAACUCUCAGGCGUUUUGAGGCCGUGUGAUGGAGGUGGAAGUGGCACGAGAGCUGAUAUCCCUCCUUCUCACUCAGGGACUCUUCUUGUUAGCUGGAGACAGAGUGAGUAAUUCAAUAAGUCAAGAAUUCAUUUAUUGCUUUCCUUUUCAAUCAUGGGGCAUUUUUGUUGUCUUUUUUACUUCCCCCAUCCACCUCCACACCAAGAUAAAAAAAAGUGAUACGAGUUGUGCAACUUCCAUCUGUGGCAGCCCUCGUUGUCUUACUGCAGCUUAAUUACAAAAUAUCGGCGCCGUUUUCUGUAAAGAUUACUCACUGUAGGAGGCCCUACAUAAUUUGGACCGGAGGGUUUGUCACAGAAAAUAAUACAAUGCAACUGGGCUUUCUGUAUUAGAUUUCCAGUUUUAGCCUCCUUGACAUUUCAAGCUGCAUGAACUAAUACAUCUGUUAUUUGUUGAUCAUUUGAUUAUUAACAUACUUCACAAACCAAAUCAGCUGCCCUGCUGGAGACACAGAUACAGCUCAGCAGACAGCGUCUGCCACGCACAAACACACUCACGAGAGAUGUACAAUUCAGCC